AUGAGCCUUCUCCUUGCUUUGGAGCUCCUGCUAUUCCUCCUUGCCUUGACACAGCUUUCUUGUGCCUCAAAUUCUACGCAUCCAUCACUGGAUCGGCAAGCAGAAGCACUUCUCCAAUGGAAAUCUAGCCUAAGCAAUGGUGACGAUUUGGUCUCAUGGAGAAAGGAGUCCAGCCCCUGUAACUGGGCCGGUAUUACCUGCAGCACUGUGGUGUCUCGUGGCCAUGACCAGGUUGAUGCCGUCCUAGUUGUGUCCAACAUUUCGCUUGGGUGCUGUUACCUUGAAGGCAGGUUGGACAAUAUCCACUUUGAGACUUGCCUCAUCUUAUCUAUCUUAACCUCACCCGGAACAGUCUCUUGGGCCCAAUCCCAUCAAGCAUUGGUGCUCUUGCGGAGCUCACUCACUUGGAUCUAUCCAAUAAUGAUUUGA
RNAcentral lists this ribosomal RNA (429 nucleotides) under Triticum aestivum (bread wheat). RNAcentral's name for it is "partial small subunit ribosomal RNA". Lineage: Eukaryota; Viridiplantae; Streptophyta; Magnoliopsida; Poales; Poaceae. The record is from RNAcentral.